GACGAACGCUGGCGGCGUGCUUAACACAUGCAAGUCGAACGGCGAUGCUCGAGCUUGCUGGCGUUGAUCAGUGGGGAGCGGGUGAGUAACACGUGUGCAACCUCCCCCAGACUCUGGAAUAAGCGCUGGAAACGCCGUCGAAUACUGGAGACGAAACUGGCCCGCAUGUGCAUGGUUUGGGAAGGUUUUCGGUUUGGGCUGGGCUCGCGGGCUAUCAGCUUGUUGGUGAGGUAGUGGCUGACCAAGGCGACGACGGGUAGCCGGCCUGAGAGGGCGACCGGCCACACUGGGACUGAGACACGGCCCAGACUCCUACGGGAGGCAGCAGUGGGGAAUAUUGCACAAUGGGCGCAAGCCUGAUGCAGCGACGCCGCGUGAGGGAUGACGGCCUUCGGGUUGUAAACCUCUUUCAGCAGGGAAGAAGCGAAAGUGACGGUACCUGCAGAAGAAGCACCGGCUAACUACGUG
This 468-nucleotide ribosomal RNA is filed under the name uncultured bacterium. RNAcentral's name for it is "partial 16S ribosomal RNA". It matches the Rfam family "Bacterial small subunit ribosomal RNA", at positions 28 to 507 of the family's 1533-position model. The record is from RNAcentral.